UGCUCAGAUUGAACGCUGGCGGCAGGCCUAACACAUGCAAGUCGAGCGGUAACAGGGGAAGCUUGCUUCUCGCUGACGAGCGGCGGACGAGUAAUGUAUGGGGAUCUGCCCGAUAGAGGGGGAUAACUACUGGAAACGGUAGCUAAUACCGCAUAAUCUCUCAGGAGCAAAGCAGGGGAACUUCGGUCCUUGCGCUAUCGGAUGAACCCUAUGGGAUUAGCUAGUUGGUGAGGUAAUGGCUCACCAAGGCGACGAUCCCUAGCUGGUCUGAGAGGAUGAUCAGCCACACUGGGACUGAGACACGGCCCAGACUCCUACGGGAGGCAGCAGUGGGGAAUAUUGCACAAUGGGCGCAAGCCUGAUGCAGCCAUGCCGCGUGUAUGAAGAAGGCCUUAGGGUUGUAAAGUACUUUCAGUUGGGAGGAAGGCGUUGAUGCUAAUAUC
Molecule: ribosomal RNA, 443 nt
Filed under: Providencia sp. Z10_25
Lineage: Bacteria; Pseudomonadati; Pseudomonadota; Gammaproteobacteria; Enterobacterales; Morganellaceae
Description: bacterial SSU rRNA
Rfam family: Bacterial small subunit ribosomal RNA
Source: RNAcentral